AUUCCCAGCUGGGAGAGGAGAGACCCGCAGGCCAGGGUGGCUGGAGCAGACUUACUUAGGCUGAUGUGCGGAGAACAGACUGCAGAGGAACAAGAAUAGAAGGAGGGUGACCUUUGGGGAGCCAACGGCAGUGGUCUGGGAGAGACACGAUGGCAGCUUGGCCUAGGUGGAUCCCAGUGGAGGUGGUGAGAAGAGUCAGAUUUGGGACUUGCUGAAUGACGCAGUGAAGAAAACCUGGCUUUGGAGAGAGAAAGCUUGAAUUAGAACCCCACUUCUGGUAUACUCUAGCAGAGUCACCACAAGCACAUAAUCACCUUGAGCCUCACUAUCCUUCUGUGCUGAAUGGGAACAAUGAUAACUCCUUCACAGGGUUGUUGUGAAGAUGAAAAGAGUCUGUGGAAGUCCUUCUGCACUUAGGAAAAGGCUAUCCAAAUGUCAGCUGUCGUUAUAAUAAACACUGAGUUUUGAAAUGUUUCUAAAAAGCAA
This 486-nucleotide long non-coding RNA is filed under the name Equus caballus (horse). RNAcentral's name for it is "lncRNA (ENSECAG00000052672.1)". Lineage: Eukaryota; Metazoa; Chordata; Mammalia; Perissodactyla; Equidae. The record is from RNAcentral.